GUGGGGAAUUUUGGACAAUGGGCGAAAGCCUGAUCCAGCCAUGCCGCGUGCAGGAUGAAGGCCUUCGGGUUGUAAACUGCUUUUGUACGGAACGAAAAGACUCCUUCUAAUAAAGGGGGUCCAUGACGGUACCGUAAGAAUAAGCACCGGCUAACUACGUGCCAGCAGCCGCGGUAAUACGUAGGGUGCCAGCGUUAAUCGGAAUUACUGGGCGUAAAGCGUGCGCAGGCGGUUUUGUAAGACAGGCGUGAAAGCCCCGGGCUCAACCUGGGAAUUGCGCUUGUGACUGCAAGGCUGGAGUGCGGCAGAGGGGGAUGGAAUUCCGCGUGUAGCAGUGAAAUGCGUAGAUAUGCGGAGGAACACCGAUGGCGAAGGCAAUCCCCUGGGCCUGCACUGACGCUCAUGCACGAAAGCGUGGGGAGCAAACAGGAUUAGAAACCCGAGUAGUCC
RNAcentral lists this ribosomal RNA (450 nucleotides) under uncultured bacterium. RNAcentral describes it as "partial 16S ribosomal RNA". It matches the Rfam family "Bacterial small subunit ribosomal RNA", at positions 354 to 796 of the family's 1533-position model. The record is from RNAcentral.